Molecule: long non-coding RNA, 285 nt
Filed under: Lathyrus oleraceus (garden pea)
Lineage: Eukaryota; Viridiplantae; Streptophyta; Magnoliopsida; Fabales; Fabaceae
Description: Pisum sativum (pea) long non-coding RNA (PSAT_LNC036184)
Source: RNAcentral
UGGAGAAGGGAGGUACAAAGCUGGUCGAUUGGGCUUGAUACCAGGCUGGAAACAGACCAAGUUUGACUGUUUUGUGGUUGCUUAACAAUUGCUGUACUUGCCUUGUUUGAAUGAAGCCAUUUUGCACAUUUUCAAGUUUUUGCAUUUUGGUCCAAAGUGAUAGCAUAAUGGUGGUAUGAUGAUGAUUUUAGGCUUGAGGCAAGUCACAAAUAGGAUAUGAAACAUUUCCCAAUUGGCCAAAUCAAGAAAAAGUCAAAGAAUCAAAAAGUCAAAGUUUGGUCAAAC